CGGAUUAAAACAAAAAAAGGUAAUAACCCACUCCUUUAGUUGGCAGCUUCGGCUAUCUUUCCCACCGGCAAAAAGGAAACCUCUCUGUCGCUCCCUCCGCGCUCAAGCACAGUUCCCCUCGCAGACCGACUCAACCAGAACGACAAUCAAGGAAGAAAAGAAAAAUUCAAAGACGAUAUUAGAAGAGAAAGAGAAGACAAAACAAAAGAACCCUCCAAGCCGCUUUGUCGGAAAAGCCGACCAUCAAUCCGGGUAAGGUCCAAAAGCCCAGAUUUUUUUUCCUUCAUCCGGCAUGCUUUCGAAACAAAGUCCGACGGAAUCCGACCGUCCGGCAACCACCAUCCAACCCUCAUCACCACGUUUCCUAUCCUUCUCCGCUGCCACACCCACCGCCGGCGCCCAGCGUAGGAUCGCCAUCGCCGUUGAUCUCAGCGAUGAAAGCGCAUUCGCCGUCAAAUGGGCUGUGCAGAACUAUCUUCGUCCCGGUGACGCCGUGAUCCUGCUUCACGUUCGUCCCACCAGCGUCCUUUAUGGCGCUGAUUGGGGCUCCAUUGACUUAUCUGUUGAUACCGAUGAAGAGUCCCAGCAGAAGCUCGAGGAUGACUUCGAUGCCUUCACCACCACCAAAGCUACUGAUCUGUCUCAGCCUUUGGUUGACGCCCAGUUCCCUUUUAAGAUCCAUAUUGUCAAGGACCACGACAUGAAGGAGCGCCUUUGCUUAGAGGUCGAGAGGUUAGGGUUGAGUGCUGUGAUUAUGGGUAGUCGAGGAUUUGGUGCGUCGAAGCGCAACAGCAAGGGACGACUUGGUAGCGUCAGUGAUUACUGCGUUCAUCACUGUGUUUGUCCGGUGGUGGUCGUGAGAUAUCCUGAUGAAAAAGAUGGGGUUGUGGAUGCUGCUCAAGCCGAAGCUGUUGACGCUAAGGUGGCGGCCAAGAAGGAGGUAGAGCUGCACCCAGUGCCGGAGGAAGAGCAGGAGUAUCACGAUGCCUCCGAGGAACAGAAAGUUAUGGGUUCGCUUGUCUCUUUGGGAUUGGCUUCUUCCUCUCCUCCUUGAUUUUAACUUCUGCGCAUGACAAUGAUCUUUAUGAGUGCUUAAGUAGAAGCUUGAGAUGUGCUUGGUUCAUGGCGUGGACUUACUGACUCAGAAAGUGAAGGCACUUGAGUCUACUGGAGGCUGGAGAAAGCUGAGAUUUGAGAUGUGUUUUUUGUGGGUUGGAUUCAUGCCAUGUAUAUUAAAUGGUGGAUAGUAGUGUUGUUGCUGUCUCUCCGUCUUCUCAUAUGUAUGUACUAUGAGAUGAUUGAUGAUGGUAUUUGUAUGGUUGAAGAAUUUUUUCGGUUUCAUGUAGGUUAUGAGAAAAAGGUUCUAAUGCUUUGUGAAAUA
Macadamia integrifolia is the source of this 1381-nucleotide RNA transcript. It is a transcript of the gene named universal stress protein PHOS32-like, with no coding region annotated. The record is from RefSeq and is a predicted model, not a curated record. The transcript is spliced from 4 exons. NCBI's taxonomy places the organism in Eukaryota, Viridiplantae, Streptophyta, Magnoliopsida, Proteales, Proteaceae.